This 468-nucleotide ribosomal RNA is filed under the name uncultured bacterium. RNAcentral's name for it is "partial 16S ribosomal RNA". It matches the Rfam family "Bacterial small subunit ribosomal RNA", at positions 28 to 507 of the family's 1533-position model. The record is from RNAcentral.
GACGAACGCUGGCGGCGUGCUUAACACAUGCAAGUCGAACGGAAAGGCACUGCUAUUGUGGGGUGCUCGAGUGGCGAACGGGUGAGUAACACGUGAGUAUCCUGCUCUAGAUUUUGGGAUAACUUCAGGAAACUGGGGCUAAUACAGGAUAGGAGACCACGCUGCAUGGAGGGGGUUGGAAAGUUUCGGCGGUUGGGGAUGGAUGCGCGGCUUAUCAGCUUGUUGGUGGGGUAGUGGCUUACCCAGGCAUUGAAGGAUAGCCGGCCUGUGUGGGGGACCGGCCACAUGGGGACUAAGAUACGGCCCAGACUCCUACGGGGGACAGCAGUGGGGAGUAUGGCACAAUGGGCGGGAGCCUGAGGCAGCAACGCCGCGUGCGGGAUGACGUCCUGCGGGUUGUAAACCGCUUUCGCCUGUGACGAAGCGUGAGUGACGGUAAUGGAUAAAGAAGCACCGGCUAACUACGUG